AGUGAACGCUGGCGGUAGGCCUAACACAUGCAAGUCGAACGGCAGCACAGUAAGAGCUUGCUCUUACGGGUGGCGAGUGGCGGACGGGUGAGGAAUACAUCGGAAUCUACUUUUUCGUGGGGGAUAACGUAGGGAAACUUACGCUAAUACCGCAUACGACCUACGGGUGAAAGCAGGGGAUCUUCGGACCUUGCGCGAUUGAAUGAGGCGAUGUCGGAUUAGCUAGUUGGCGGGGUAAAGGCCCACCAAGGCGACGAUCCGUAGCUGGUCUGAGAGGAUGAUCAGCCACACUGGAACUGAGACACGGUCCAGACUCCUACGGGAGGCACCAUUGGGGAAUAUUGGACAAUGGGCGAAAGCCUGAUCCAGCCAUACCGCGUGGGUGAAGAAGGCCUUCGGGUUGUAAAGCCCUUUUGUUGGGAAAGAAAAGCAGCAGGUUAAUACCCCGCUGUUCUGACGGUACCCAACGAAUAAGCACCGGCUAACUUCGUG
This 492-nucleotide ribosomal RNA is filed under the name uncultured bacterium. Its description in RNAcentral is "partial 16S ribosomal RNA". It matches the Rfam family "Bacterial small subunit ribosomal RNA", at positions 29 to 507 of the family's 1533-position model. The record is from RNAcentral.